CGGAGGGUGCAAGCGUUGUCCGGAUUUAUUGGGUUUAAAGGGUGCGUAGGUGGCUUGUUAAGUCCGGGGUGAAAGCCCACAGCUCAACUGUGGAACUGCCCUGGAUACUGGCAAGCUUGAGUCCAGACGAGGUUGGCGGAAUGGAAGGUGUAGCGGUGAAAUGCAUAGAUACCUUCCAGAACCCCGAUUGCGUAGGCAGCUGACUAGGCUGGUACUGACACUGAGGCACGAAAGCGUGGGGAGCGAACAGGAUU
RNAcentral lists this ribosomal RNA (254 nucleotides) under uncultured bacterium. RNAcentral describes it as "partial 16S ribosomal RNA". It matches the Rfam family "Bacterial small subunit ribosomal RNA", at positions 526 to 779 of the family's 1533-position model. The record is from RNAcentral.